GUGCCAGCAGCCGCGGUAAUACGUAGGUGGCAAGCGUUAUCCGGAAUUAUUGGGCGUAAAGCGCGCGUAGGCGGUUUUUUAAGUCUGAUGUGAAAGCCCACGGCUCAACCGUGGAGGGUCAUUGGAAACUGUAAAACUUGAGUGCAGAAGAGGAAAGUGGAAUUCCAUGUGUAGCGGUGAAAUGCGCAGAGAUAUGGAGGAACACCAGUGGCGAAGGCGACUUUCUGGUCUGUAACUGACGCUGAUGUGCGAAAGCGUGGGGAUCAAACAGGAUUA
Molecule: ribosomal RNA, 276 nt
Filed under: uncultured Staphylococcus sp.
Lineage: Bacteria; Bacillati; Bacillota; Bacilli; Caryophanales; Staphylococcaceae
Description: partial 16S ribosomal RNA
Rfam family: Bacterial small subunit ribosomal RNA
Source: RNAcentral